RNAcentral lists this ribosomal RNA (2885 nucleotides) under Phocaeicola faecium. Its description in RNAcentral is "Phocaeicola sp. Sa1YUN3 partial 23S ribosomal RNA". It matches the Rfam family "Bacterial large subunit ribosomal RNA". The record is from RNAcentral. Lineage: Bacteria; Pseudomonadati; Bacteroidota; Bacteroidia; Bacteroidales; Bacteroidaceae.
UACGGAAAUAGAUAAGGGCGUACGGUGGAUGCCUAGGCUCUCGGAGGCGAUGAAGGACGUGGCAAGCUGCGACAAGCCGCGGGGAGGUGCAAGCAACCUUUGAUCCGCGGAUAUCCGAAUGGGACAACCCGGUGUCCUGAAGGGGCACCAUCCCGCACAGCGGGAGGCUAACGCAGGGAACUGAAACAUCUUAGUACCUGCAGGAAAAGAAAAUAACAAUGAUUCCCCCAGUAGUGGCGAGCGAACGGGGAAGAGCCCAAACCCGCCCUGUUACGGCAGGACGGGGGUUGUAGGACUGCGGCAUCGCAUGAACGAUGGCGAGCGGAACGCUCUGGAAAGAGCGACCAUAGACGGUGAUAGUCCGGUACGCGAAGCCAUAGGAAGCGUAGCAGUAUCCUGAGUAACGCGGGACACGUGAAAUCCUGCGCGAAUCAGCCGGGACCAUCCGGCAAGGCUAAAUACUCCCGAGAGACCGAUAGUGAACCAGUACCGUGAGGGAAAGGUGAAAAGCACUCCGAACAGGAGGUUGAAAUAGUCCCUGAAACCGUACGCCUACAAGCGGUCGGAGCAGCAUCAAGCUGUGACGGCGUGCCUUUUGCAUAAUGAACCUACGAGUUGCCGUCGCCGGCAAGGUUAAGGGAAAUGAUUCCCGCAGCCGAAGCGAAAGCGAGUCUGAACAGGGCGUCCAGUCCGCGGCGGCAGACGCGAAACCGUGUGAUCUACCCUUGUCCAGGAUGAAGUCCGGGUAACGCCGGAUGGAGGUCCGAACCGAUAAGCGUUGAAAAGCUUCCGGAUGAGGUGAGGGUAGGGGUGAAAGGCCAAUCAAACUCGGAGAUAGCUCGUACUCCCCGAAAUGCAUUUAGGUGCAGCCUUGUACGUUCCAGACCAGAGGUAGAGCGACUGAUAAGACGCGAGGGCUUCACCGCCUAUCAAGUCUUGACAAACUCCGAAUGCUGGUAUUGCCAAAGUACAGGAGUGAGGGCGUGGGUGCUAAGGUCCGCGCCCGAGAGGAGAACAAUCCAGACCGUCGUCUAAGGCCCCGAAAUAACCACUAAGUUAGUCUAACGAAGUCCGGUUGCAGAGACAGCUAGGAUGUUGGCUUGGAAGCAGCCAUUCAUUUAAAGAGUGCGUAACAGCUCACUAGUCGAGGAACCGGGCGUGGAUAAUAAUCGGGUAUUAAGUGGUUUGCCGAAGACUCGGGAUCAAUACGAUCGGUAGGGGAGCAUUCCAUCGGCGUUGAAUGUCUUCCGUGAGGAGGGCUGGAGCUUAUGGAAAAGCAAAUGUAGGUAUAAGUAACGAUAAAGGGGGCGGGAAACCCCCUCGCCGAAAGACCAAGGUUUCCUGAUCAACGCUAAUCGGAUCAGGGUAAGUCGGGCCCUAAGGCACAGCCUAACGGCGUAGCCGAUGGCAGAAACGGUAAAGAUUCCGUUACUGCCGCAUGUGGUGACGCGGGGACGCAGGAGUGACACCGCCGCCACCUGACGGAAUAGGUGGUUGAAGGGUGUAGGAGUUGAUUCCGGCAGGCAAAUCCGCCGGGAGAUCCGAACCUGAUAGUAUGGCGCGUCCUUCGGGACAAGCCAAUAGCGCGGGUAAGCGUGCUGCCGAGAAAAUCCGCUACGCAUAACACAUGCGGCACCCGUACCGAAACGGACACACGUGGUCGGGUAGAAUAUACUAAGGCGCUUGGGUGAGUCACGGUUAAGGAACUAGGCAAAUUGACCCUGUAACUUCGGGACAAAGGGUCCCUACCCCAGUGAUGGGGAGGGCGCAGCGAAUCGGUCCAGGCAACUGUUUACCAAAAACACAGGGCUGUGCGAAUUCGAAAGAAGAAGUAUACAGCCUGACACCUGCCCGGUGCCGGAAGGUUAAGAGGAGAGGUCAUCGCAAGAGAAGCCUUGAAUUGAAGCCCCGGUAAACGGCGGCCGUAACUAUAACGGUCCUAAGGUAGCGAAAUUCCUUGUCGGGUAAGUUCCGACCUGCACGAAUGGUGUAAUGAUCUGGACGCUGUCUCAACCGUGAGCCCAGUGAAAUUGUAGUAUCGGUGAAGAUGCCGAUUACCCGCGAUGGGACGAAAAGACCCCGUGAACCUUUACUAUAGCUUAGCAUUGGAUCUGGGCACGUGAUGUGUAGGAUAGGCCGGAGGCAUUGAAGCAGGUACGCCAGUAUUUGUGGAGCCGCCGUUGAAAUACGGCCCUUUAUUUGUUUGGAUUCUAACUCCUAGUCGGAGGACAUUGCUUGGUGGGUAGUUUGACUGGGGUGGUCGCCUCCAAAAGCGUAACGGAGGCUUCUAAAGGUGCCCUCAGGACGAUCGGUAACCGUCCGCAGAGUGUAAUGGCAUAAGGGCGCUUGACUGGGAGACAUACAAGUCGAGCAGGUAGGAAACUAGAGCAUAGUGAUCCGGUGUUUCCGUAUGGAAGGGACAUCGCUCAAAGGAUAAAAGGUACUCCGGGGAUAACAGGCUGAUCCCUCCCAAGAGCUCAUAUCGACGGAGUGGUUUGGCACCUCGAUGUCGGCUCGUCACAUCCCGGGGCUGGAGAAGGUCCCAAGGGUUGGGCUGUUCGCCCAUUAAAGUGGCACGCGAGCUGGGUUCAGAACGUCGUGAGACAGUUCGGUCUCUAUCUAUCGUGGGCGCAUGAAAUUUGCGCGGCUCGGGCACUAGUACGAGAGGACCGUGCUUGACCGACCUCCGGUUUACCGGUUGUGCCGCCAGGUGCACCGCCGGGUAUCCGCGUCGGGAUCGGAUAAGCGCUGAAAGCAUCUAAGCGCGAAGCCGGCCGCAAGAUAAGAUUUCAAUGAGGGUCGUCAGAGACUAUGACGUUGAUAGGACGCAGGUGUAUAGGUGGAGACACCACAGCCGAGCGUUACUAAUUGCCCGAAAUUUCCGU